Molecule: long non-coding RNA, 1052 nt
Filed under: Bemisia tabaci
Lineage: Eukaryota; Metazoa; Arthropoda; Insecta; Hemiptera; Aleyrodidae
Description: lncRNA ENSSSA1NGG000419
Source: RNAcentral
UGAACUAACCAAUCUCAAAUCGUUAUUUAAGACUCUAUGAAGAGACCUCCCCUUUAAUAGAGAUGCUCUGUUUAUGAUUUACGCUUUGUUGCAGGCAAGCCUUGAUUUUGGAAUUUUGGAUGGUGCGCCCAGAUUUUUUGAUGGGUUUUCGAUUCAAAAAUGAUUGAGAUGUCAAUGAGAAAAUUGUGAAAGCUAAUGCAGCUAACCUCCUCCUAAAGUGGGUUCAAAGUUCACAGUUUGAUUUUCUGACGCAGGGAGCGUCAAAAAGGAUGCUGAAAUCGUGAAAGCCGAGCCUAGGGUUUUUGCAUUAUAUACAGUUGUUUUGAACGUGCGUCACCACAGAUUUUCAUUGCGUGCAUGCGAUAAAACUUACAGCUGCGCUGUCGACAUUCUGAAAAUCCUCUUCCGGCUUCAACAAGUAAAACGGGUAAAAUGAAUCUGAUGUCAUCUCUCUUGGUUUGGACGACGGUGUUAUGGGUUAUGAUACCGUAUGGAGUGGGGAUGUAUCCACGCGGGCAAUCGGAGAUUGAAUCGGUUCCAUCAACUCCCAGAGCAGGAACGCCUCCCAGAAGUGGGUCGGGUCGCUCUUCCCCUGCUGCGCUUAAGAAGGAUGAGAAACUAAACUGGUUUCAAAGGAGGAAGCAGAAGAAAAAACAAGAGGAAGAGGAAAAGGAAAAGGCCGCCGCGAAGAAGAGAAAACCGUGAAUACUGGGAAGGAAGUCAUGUAUUAUCGCGAUGUGUCCACCGUAGACGCAAGCUCCUAUAGCCAAAUGAUCCGAAGUAUAAUGAGUGACGACCCGUGUAAAAAGGGUAAAGCUGACGCAAACGCUUACUGCAAAAUGGUGACUGGAUUCUUGAACAGACUCAAACCCGAGAAUCGGAGCCCCGACUGCCCCCACGUGAGGAACGGAAGAUGCGCCGAAAUUAAAGGCCAGAAAGUGUGCGCAGUUGACACGUACACGAAGAUGCCAUAUUGCGGAUGCUUAACCAACAGGAAAACUGAAAAGACACUCUUGACGUUUAGUCAGUGUGUUGGCACGAUCCCUUACUAA